Xyrichtys novacula (pearly razorfish) is the source of this 872-nucleotide non-coding RNA. Lineage: Eukaryota; Metazoa; Chordata; Actinopteri; Labriformes; Labridae. The record is from the annotation of a GenBank genome assembly.
CUUUAGGGCUCUUUUGAAGAGGUUGUUCACACUGCUAGAUGUUUCUCCUCCAAAGCUGCUCUCUGCCUCCAUCAUUGUUUACUUUACUCUUGAAGCACGUAGCAGGACCCGAGCAUGACUCCGAGCGCUUUAUUCGCCUAUCAGGGGCAGACAGGUAAGGUGAUUUGAUUCGCCACGACUCCAGAAAUGAUUGAAAAACUACAGAAUGUCACAAAAUUACGUUUCCUCGCUGCUGGCUUGAAGGGUAGAAAUGCGCAGCCGCGCUCCCAGCUGACAGGAAGUCAAACCACUGUUGUAGUUCUUUUGUGUUGCUAGCGCGGUCAAGAGUGUUGGCUGUCACUGAGAGAUGACUACAAAAAUGGACGCACCUGUUCAUCUGGUUGUUUAACACGGCUGAAAAUGAUCAUCUUUUAAUGUUGUCCCCGCUCCUGCCCACUCCCGUUGCUUUUUUUCCCGUCCCGUCCUGAUCAAAGGAUUAAUUAAAAAAUGACUCCCAUCCCGCGGGAAUCACGUGACCCACGGGAAUUCCCGAAAAAUGUCAUCCUCUACAGGGAAGGUCCCGGAGCAGAUGAAACAGGUGCCGGAGCGGCUGAAAUAGGUCCCGGAUCGCGCUCCGACUUGCUCCGGCAAAAAUUAAGCACUGCUUACAAUGAUCCCCUCACGUGUGUAACCCAGGUAACCCACAACGGCGGGAGACGUUGGACACGAAGAGGGCACGUAAAGCGGCGUCAUGUCGCAAAAUCGAAAGAGAAAUGCGAGCCUACAUGUCAACGCAUCCUUUUCUUUUUAAGAAAAUAUUGUUUUCUUUCCCGUUCGACACCAAAUACACUUACUGAAUGUGCAAUUAUUGUUGUUGUUACUAUGAAUCAUCU